Molecule: long non-coding RNA, 2254 nt
Filed under: Equus caballus (horse)
Lineage: Eukaryota; Metazoa; Chordata; Mammalia; Perissodactyla; Equidae
Description: lncRNA (ENSECAG00000050374.1)
Source: RNAcentral
AUGGAGUUAAAGGUUGGAGACCCUGGGGCAGGUUCCAGCCUUGAAACAUAAGACCUGACCCGGCCUCUGCCCUCAAGUAUCAAUGAGCUCUAACCUGGGCUGGUACCAGGGGGUUCUGAAGGAAUUGGAUAAGAGUUCUUGCCCUGGAAAAGCUUACAUCUCAUCAGAAGCAGGGCAUAAGGCCCACACGAGGGAAUUAAAGAAUCCCAUGAGGCAAGAUGAACCAGGAGCUAAACCGGAUGGCACAGACAUCAGCUGCUGUAAAACUUCAGAGAAGAAAGGGAAGGAGCUGGGUACCACCGGAACCUCCGUUCUGAGCUACCGAGGUUGCAAAUCCUGAGGGAACUCAGCAGCAUCGGACUUUGACAGGAGGAGAUUGGAGCCAAUGAAAAAGACAAGAUGCAUAUGCGGAAGGAAGUGAUGUGGGCAAAAGACUAAGGGAUGGUCUCGGAAGUUCAGCAAACACCGACUGAAACCCGUUCUCUUGUGCUUGUGAGAAGACUAGGAGGCAAAGAUGUCAGAGCGAAAGUUUUGAACAAAUACCAGUUUUGACCAGUCAAAGAUCCUCAAGCUCAGGGUCCCCAGGACUGGCACCAUGUGGUGCGGUCAACGGCCCCUUCAGCCCGACGUGUGAGACCUGAGGAGAAUACAGCUACGGGGGAAAGAAAUUCGACGCGCAAAGAGAGGGCGCAGAACAGGCCUCCAGGGACCCGCCCACCUUCCGUUUCCGCUUCCGGUUCUGUUUCCGUACGUCGAGUGCGUGCGCUACCAGGCAGACAGCACCUUCAAGACAGACCCCGAAGGCACGGACUGCACCGUGGAGCACAGGGCUACAGGGAACUUCCAGGCCGAGAAGCCCCUGGAGCAGGAGGAGAAGAGGCUGCGGGAGGACGAGGGGCUGAGCAACCCCAUGAAGGUGCUGGAGAACCAACCCAAGGCCUCCAGGCUGGGAUGGAGACUGGAGAACCUGCAGGAGCUCGAGGACCUGAGCCGGCGGAGGCCCCCAGGGACUUUGAGGCCGCACUGCGGCAGCACCGCCUGCGAGGAGGACGGGCAGGAGCAGGAGGAGGACGAGAGGGAGACGGCGGCCUUAGUGGAAGAAGCUAGCAAACGAAGACCGCUGGAGACUCCCAUUCAGAGGAGGAUGCUGCUGCUCCCACGCUGCUUGACUGGCCCUCCAGCCCAACCCCGCCACAUCCUGGACGAGGCCCCCAAGGCCAGGAGGAAAGCUGAGAGCUGAGAGCGGAGCGUGGGCACCCUUGGCAGCAGACCUGGAGGCCUGAUCGUGGUGAAGAAAACGGGCCUGGAUCGCAGCACCAGGCAGGGCCGGCUGCCCCUGCCCUGGGUGCCGUGAGGAACAGGAAGGCAGCUGACCCUGCACCCCUGGACGCCUAGCACUCCCUCCCUGAGCCAGGUGGGUGCAUAUUUGGGCAGCGAGGACAGCCACGGCAGCAACUGAGGUCUUCGCCCCUGUCCAGGCCCUUCCCCAGGUCAAAGGUUACACAUUCUGCUCCAGACAGUGGUCGGGAGGCGGUGGCACCAACCAGAGCCACGACUGGACAAGCAUGAACAUCCUCCAAGGCCGGUGGGGCCAGCAAGGGUUUCAGCCCAGAGACUCGGUUUCUCUCCUGUCCCCAUACCCACCAGCCCUCUGGGACCUUGGAGUACCCAGCUCAGGCUGCCCCCCACCUGGCACCAAGAUCAAGACUCCAGCAUCCCUGGAGCCGCUCUCAGCUACUGGUAAGCCUUUGCCAUCCUCUCUUGGACAGUCCUUAAAAUAUCAGCCGUGUUUUGGGCAUGUGGGUGAGCCCACCCACCCCCGGUUGACUCCAUCCCUUUCCGCCACAAAACCGUCUGGAACCAAUAAAAGGAACCCACCAAAAAAAGAGCUGUGAGGACAGGAAUACUAGUCAGGAAGGUUCGUGAAGGGGCAUCUGGAAGGAUGGAUAGGCAAGCUUGCUCGCUGUGGUGAAGCCAGCUGCCAUGUUGUGAGCUGCCCUGCGGAGAAGCCCACAUGGUAAUAGGCAGCAUUCGGGAAAAAGGCAGCUCUGUGUGCCAAAGGAGAGUCCAGCUGCCUGGCCAGAACCUGGCAACAUGGAUAGGGGGGUCUUCGCGGAAGAACAAAUCAGAAAAAGACACCAAGGGCUCCAAGGAGGACCUCAGCAGGAGGAAGAGAGGAAGGGGUUGUUUGUCCGCUUGUUUGUUUGUUGGAGUGGGGGUAGUGGGCUGGGCCGAAGGAGCCGAAGGUCAUAGA